AUUUCUCAAACCGAUGCUAGAUUCUUCAGUGUUGAUGUUAAAGAGAACACCCUCGUAACGAAUCUCAGACUUGGAAGUCAAGCUGAUCAAGCUACCGAUGUACGAAUCAGCAGACCCACUUGAAGAAGAUCUGGGCGCCUCUGUUGCCGCCGCUGCCAUUAGCCUUUGAGACGAGUGCCUUUUUUUCCCCUUCUUUUCUCAAUCUCCUCGAGACAAUUGAUGAUGAUACACCGGGAUACUUACAAAAUUAUCUUAAUACCCUAAACACAGAAUUGCCAAAAUUUUCAUCAAUACCCUCUGAAAGCUCACGUGAAAUUACUAAACUAUCCUCGCCUUAAAACACUCAUAACACGGCUCAUACAAACGCUCACACGUGCUGGCUCCUCUUUGGUAUUCUUUGUGCUUGACAAAACUAAAAGUGAUUAAAGAUUUAGAAAGAGAGGUUAAACUCAACUCAAGUACUCAACCGAACCGAACUAAAACUUUGUUUGUUUUGUCUUUUUGCAGGUCUAGUCUGGAAUUGGGCCUUGGAUUUGCGUUUUGUUAUGCUCGGAAACACACCUCAAAUGACGAGAAAGACUUUUGAAAACAAACCUCACCUUUGUUUCAAGAUUUCUUUUUUCUUUUUUUUUUAAUUAUGUGGUAUGUAAAAAUUUGUAAUGGAUUACAUUAGUUUGAUAUUUUCACUAGCAAAAAUCAACUAUUUAAGCUUAUUUUAUGAAAUAUUUGGUUAG
Molecule: long non-coding RNA, 734 nt
Filed under: Citrus sinensis (sweet orange)
Lineage: Eukaryota; Viridiplantae; Streptophyta; Magnoliopsida; Sapindales; Rutaceae
Description: long non-coding RNA (CSIN_LNC005708)
Source: RNAcentral